UCUCUUUGCUCACCGAACCAGCACCUGCCGCAACCGAAUCGGGGGGGCCAUCAGGGGGGGAUUUGAUUCGGGGAGGCGAAGGAGCUCUCUCGCCGCCAUGGACGAGGAGGAGCACGAGGUGUACGGCCAGGAGAUCCCGGAGGACGGCGAUAUGGACGGCGCUGACGUCGAUAUGGCCGCCGGCGGGGACGACGCGGCGAAGCUGCAGGACCUCGACGAGAUGAAGCGCAGGCUGAAGGAGAUGGAGGAGGAGGCUGCCGCCCUCCGCGAUAUGCAGGCCAAGGUCGCCAAGGAGAUGCAGGGAGGUGACCCUAGUGCAUCAACAGCUGAGGCGAAGGAGCAGGUGGAUGCCCGCUCUGUGUAUGUUGGAAAUGUUGAUUAUGCGUGUACACCAGAAGAAGUACAGCAGCACUUCCAAGCUUGUGGAACUGUCAAUCGGGUGACAAUCUUGACCGACAAGUUUGGGCAGCCAAAAGGUUUUGCUUAUGUUGAAUUUCUGGAACAAGAAGCUGUCCAGGAGGCUCUUAAUUUGAAUGAAUCAGAGUUGCAUGGUCGCCAGAUUAAGCUUUCGCGCUUUGCUUUGUGCUCAACAGGUUGCACCGAAGAGGACUAAUGUCCCUGGGAUGAAGCAGCGUCCACCACGCGGGUUUAACCCGUACCAUGGCUACCCAUAUAGAUCAUACGGAGCGCCGUACUUCCCCCCAUAUGGUUAUGGGAGGGCUCCAAGAUUCCGCCGGCCAAUGCGCUACAGGCCUUACUUCUGAAGUACUGGGGUCAUAAAGUUAAAUGCAAAUCCAUCCUAGACAGUCCCGAGAAUAAAUUCUAUUCUACUCUACUCUACCUGCUGCUGUUUCAUUGGCACCGUUUCAUAGUAGACACUGCUGCGGCCUGAAUGCUCCUGCCCCAGACCCCAGUUGUCUUUUGUGCCGCCAUGUGCGACUUGUAAUAUCGGCAUGCUGUGAUGCCAUACGUAGUAACAAACAUCACUGUAAUACUGACUCAUGCUAUUUUCCCGGAGUCAUUUCAGUAUUCUUUUAGCAUUUUUAGACCCCUUUUGGCACAGCUUCUACCGGAUCUGGCUUGUCACUAUUCA
RNA transcript from Panicum virgatum (switchgrass), 1093 nucleotides. It is a transcript of the gene named polyadenylate-binding protein 2-like, with no coding region annotated. The record is from RefSeq and is a predicted model, not a curated record. NCBI's taxonomy places the organism in Eukaryota, Viridiplantae, Streptophyta, Magnoliopsida, Poales, Poaceae. The transcript is spliced from 6 exons.